This 253-nucleotide ribosomal RNA is filed under the name uncultured bacterium. Its description in RNAcentral is "partial 16S ribosomal RNA". It matches the Rfam family "Bacterial small subunit ribosomal RNA", at positions 524 to 776 of the family's 1533-position model. The record is from RNAcentral.
UACGUAGGGAGCAAGCGUUGUCCGGAAUCAUUGGGCGUAAAGCGCGCGUAGGCGGCCCUGUAAGUCCGUUGUGAAAGUCAAAGGCUCAACCUUUGAAAGCCGAUGGAUACUGCAGGGCUAGAGUCCAGAAGAGGCGAGUGGAAUUCCUGGUGUAGCGGUGGAAUGCGCAGAUAUCAGGAGGAACACCAAUAGCGAAGGCAGCUCGCUGGGACGGUACUGACGCUAAGGCGCGAAAGCGUGGGGAGCGAACAGG